This is a small nucleolar RNA of Microplitis mediator, 76 nucleotides long. RefSeq annotates it as small nucleolar RNA U43. NCBI's taxonomy places the organism in Eukaryota, Metazoa, Arthropoda, Insecta, Hymenoptera, Braconidae. The record is from RefSeq and is a predicted model, not a curated record. The transcript has a single exon.
AUGAUGAUUUAGAUUUUAAUGUUUAUGGUUUAUACUGAUUAACCAUGACGAUAUUAUUCUAGGGCGGUCUGAUAAA